This 696-nucleotide ribosomal RNA is filed under the name uncultured bacterium. RNAcentral's name for it is "bacterial SSU rRNA". It matches the Rfam family "Bacterial small subunit ribosomal RNA", at positions 32 to 715 of the family's 1533-position model. The record is from RNAcentral.
AACGCUAGCUACAGGCUUAACACAUGCAAGUCGAGGGGAAACGACAUCGAAAGCUUGCUUUUGAUGGGCGUCGACCGGCGCACGGGUGAGUAACACGUAUCCAACCUGCCCACCACUUGGGGAUAGCCUUGCGAAAGUAAGACUAAUACCCAAUGAUAUCCCACGAAGGCAUCCGAAUGGGAUUAAAGAUUUAUCGGUGAUGGAUGGGGAUGCGUCUGAUUAGCUUGUUGGCGGGGUAACGGCCCACCAAGGCGACGAUCAGUAGGGGUUCUGAGAGGAAGGUCCCCCACAUUGGAACUGAGACACGGUCCAAACUCCUACGGGAGGCAGCAGUGAGGAAUAUUGGUCAAUGGACGCAAGUCUGAACCAGCCAAGUAGCGUGCAGGACGACGGCCCUAUGGGUUGUAAACUGCUUUAGUGCGGGAAUAAAGUGUGGGACGUGUCCCAUAUUGCAGGUACCGCAAGAAUAAGGACCGGCUAAUUCCGUGCCAGCAGCCGCGGUAAUACGGAAGGUCCGGGCGUUAUCCGGAUUUAUUGGGUUUAAAGGGAGCGUAGGCUGUUUAUUAAGCGUGUUGUGAAAAACCCGUGCUCAACAUGGGUCGUGCAGCGCGAACUGGUGAACUUGAGUGCGGAUGCGGUAUGCGGAAUUUGUGGUGUAGCGGUGAAAUGCUUAGAUAUCACGAAGAACUCCGAUUG